Long non-coding RNA from Equus asinus (donkey), 1563 nucleotides. The record is from Ensembl. Lineage: Eukaryota; Metazoa; Chordata; Mammalia; Perissodactyla; Equidae.
GAAAAGUCGAGGAUAACACGAAAGGUUUUGGUAAAAAAAAAAAAACUGGAACAAGACAAGGGAGACUGGGGGAAGAUCAUGAGUUUAUUUUUGAACACUUUGAGUUUAUGAUAUCGUAAAGAUAUUCAAUAGGAAAGGUCUCAACGGUUGGGCCAUGUAGCAGUAUGGAAUUCAAGGGAGGAAUCUGGACUGGAAAUAUGAAUUUGGAACUCAACAGAAUAGAUGUGGUCUUUCAAACAAUGACACUAGAUGAAAACACCAAGGACCUGAGAGAAAAUAGACAGACAAGGACCUCAAGGUUCAGAGAUCAGGAAGGUAAGGAGGAACCAGCAGAGGAAACUGAGAGGGAAAAAUAUUUGAGAUAAGAGUUAAUCCAAAAAUGUCCUGGAAGAUAACAAAUAGUGUCUCAAGGAAGAGGGAGUGAUAAACUGUAUCAAAUACAGGAAUCAGUCAACUAUCACUGACAGACAAGUAAGAUGAUGACUGAGGAAAGACCAUAGGAUUCAGCAAUGCAGACAUCUUGGAUUAUCCUGACAAGAUCAUUUUCAAACUUUGGAGUAAUAUGGACAAAAGCCUAAUUGUAGCAAGUCUAAGAGAAUAAGAAAAAAGAAGUUGGUGUGGAUGACUGUGGACAACUUUUUUGAGUAAUUGCUUUUGCUAUAAAGAUAGCUACCUAUUGAUCAAAGGCCAUGGUAAAAAGAAUUGUGGACUCCAGAGCAUGGAUAGAAUGGACACAAACCAUCAGGGCCAGGCAUCCACCAAAGGAAAUCUCUCCAGCACAGAGCCACAAAAUGGCCAGUGGAGCUGAGAGCCAGAAACAUCUCACCUGCCUAAAGAGAUAAUCUUGGAUGCAGGGACCAUGCAGUUGCUAAUACCUUGGCACAGGAUCUAGCUGUGGCCUGUACUCUGGAUUGACGCCCUGAGUCUGGCUUGCUUGAUGGAAGAGGGGAAGCAUACUUCUAGGAUCCCAGGAUACUGCCCUGCCCAUCGCCAUCACGUCACCCCGGCAACUCUAACUCUUCCCUGAGACCAAACAUGCAUCGCUGAUCUCAGAAAUUCAGACCAACAUCCUGCUGCUACAGGGAAAUGAAGAGAAAACUGUGCACCAAACUCAUUGCUGGGAAGUGAGGUCCUCGAAGUGUUUUAUCCACAGUCCCUGACCUCCACAACCUUCAGGUCUCUAAGUUCGUGUUGCAUCAGAGCACAAUUAAGUCACGGUAACUAGAUCAGAGACGUCUAUCCUCCCUGGCCCCCAGGAAGCAGGAGAUUCAGCUGUUUCUCAUCUCAGGCUCAAUUGAUGCCUCGGGCUUGCUCUGAAUUGUUAGUCCCUCAUUUCCUCCAAAGUUAUUCUCCCAAUAUGUUCCCUCUUCUCUGUUUCAUCAGCUUUUAUCCUGCCACAUGGUUACAUAUAGCCACUGGUCCUCUGGAACAUGCCUCAUCUGCCUACACUAUGUGUCACCUCAAUGAUAGACCAGAGUUUUAGAGAAGAGAAUAGAUAUAUUGGGAAGGUAUUGAUGACUUGCACUAAAACAUAAGGACCACAGAAUUCAGAGUAGGAAUGGG